AACGAACGCUGGCGGCAUGCCUAACACAUGCAAGUCGAACGAAACCUUCGGGUCUUUUCUCGCACGACUGCGUCACGCGUCGGAACCUGCCCUUAUGGUCGAAAUAACUCCCCGACAGGGGUGCUAAUACCGGAUAAGAUCUUCUAACCAAAGAUUUAUCGCCUUUGAUUGUUCCCUCGUUGGAUUAGCUAGUUGUUAGGGUAAAAGCCUACCAAGGCGAGCAUCCAUAGCUGGUCUGAGAGACAGAUCAGCCACACUUGGACUGAGAAACGGCCCAGACUCCUACGGGAGGCAGGAGUGGGGAACAGUGCAAAAUGGGGGAAAGGCUGAUGCAGCAAUGAUGGGUGAGUGAUGAAGGCAUUAGAGUUGUAAAGUUUAUUUAACUGGGAUGAUAAUGACAGUACCGGGACAAUAAGCCCCGGCUAACUACGUG
This 433-nucleotide ribosomal RNA is filed under the name uncultured bacterium. Its description in RNAcentral is "partial 16S ribosomal RNA". It matches the Rfam family "Bacterial small subunit ribosomal RNA", at positions 29 to 507 of the family's 1533-position model. The record is from RNAcentral.